AGAACCCGCUCUCUGGACAGAAGAACCCGCUCUCUGGACAGAAGAACCCGCUCUCUGUACAGAAGAACCCGCUCUCUGUACAGAAGAACCCGCUCUCUGUACAGAAGAACCCGCUCUCUGGACAGAAGAAUCCACUCUCCGGACAGAAGAGCCCGCUCUCCGGACAGAAUGUUGCGUGCUGUGGGAUGAGGUAGUAGUUUGUAUAGUUUUAGGAUCACACCAGAUCUGGGAGAUAACUAUACAGCCUACUGUCUUUCCCACGGUAGCUCCUUGACAACGACAGCAACGCGGCGCCUCUGCUGUGUAGCGGAUGGAGACCUGCGUGUGGCAUGCUUGCGAUGUAGAGAGAAUGUUCCGGAGCGUGCUGAGGUGCGGUAGUGAGUUAUGUUGUUGUCGGGGACUAGAAUAUGGCGCCCCCUACUGGAGAUAAGUAUACGACUUACUGCCUCCUGCUGCGUUAAACCUCAUAAUGUCACUUUUCGAUUACAGGGGAAUGAUUUGUACAGUAUUAUCAUAGAACAUUUUUGCUUUUUCAAACGAACUGCAACUCUGAGACUGCAGGAGUAAGAGUUCCUGUUUUUCUAAAGUACUGUUUUUAUUGAUUGGUAAUAAAUAUUUUUAUUAUAACUACAUCUUUACCUAUAUUUUUAUAAAUUUUAUUUUUUGUGUUUUACCUUCAGGAUUGUACUGUCCCAUAUAUUUGAUCUGUGCUUGUAUUUUGAUUGGCUGUUGUAGUAUGCUUGUAUAGAUAUACUAGCACACAUACAAAAGAACCCUGUCAGAGUUUGAAAUUAAUACGUGAAAAUAAGCUGAAAUUAUAUUGAACUUUGCUGGUGACUGAUAUAUUGAGCAGACAGCUGUUCCACAUGAUAGAAUGUCUAUUAUUUUGAUAAACAGAACCAAACAAGUGUCAUAUACUGUAGCAUUUUCCCAGAAUGCAUUUCAAAUGAGCUCAUUUCAGAGGAUGCAACUAAAAACUAGCAAAACAUGUAGUGCAUGCUGGGAUGAAAGGAAACACUUUGGUGAAUGAGGUAUGUGCUGGUAUAUGCAAACCAGAGGCUAACUUACAGGUGUGGCUCAUCCAGUCAUUAAGAAAAUAACAUCUCAGCAUGCAACGGGUGAUGCAUACAAAUGGUUGCCUGUAACUGCAGCCAGCAGGAGGUGACCUCAGUGACUUUGAUAAAGAGAUGACUUUGAUUUGGCGGGAACCAUGGCGACCAAGACGGCUCUAAUCGGUGUCUCCCUAACGACAGUGUCUAAGGUGACGUCAGCACGGAACUUUGAGGGAUUAAAUUGAUUAACGAGUCAGAAGAGGGUGGGAGUGGUAAUGCUAUGAUCGUGAUGUCUGUGAAUUCAUUCAGAAUUCAGGUGUAAAGAAUACUGUGCUUUAAUUCAGAAUUCAGAUGUAAAGGAGACCACAUUCAUGCAGAAUUCAGGUGUAAAGAAGGCUGUGCAUUAAUUCAGAAUUCAGAUGUAAAGGAGACCACAUUCAUUCAGAAUUAAGGUGUAAAGCAAACUGCUUUGUUUACCUGCUGUUUUCAUACUGGGAGAGUGCAAGCAGUUUCCAAAAAAUAGCCUAUCAAUGCCCCUUUACACUGCUGUACUAUAGCAAGUGAUGUCACAUCCUGCGACUUGUAAAGCAGUUAGUUUGUCAUCAGUCUUAUGGGAGGAGCUAAAGAAUAUGCAUGUUGGGGGUGGUGUGGUCAGGGCGCCAUCUGCAAGCGGAGAGGGAGCGGUUUAGCUUGCAUUGCAACCACAGGUGUGCGCGAUUACAAUUAUUUGCUAAUUGCAUUCACCUUUGUUUGCAGUGCCAGCUAAACCGCUCCCUCUCCGCCUGCAGGUGGCGCCCUAACCACACCACCCCUCCACAAUGCAUUUCACUGGUUUCAUGAAAAUUUGUAUUUCAAAACUGAAAAGAUUUUGCAUAUCAGGAUAUGUUGACAAACUACAGGGCUUCGAACUUGUCUCGGACAUCGGAUACAUCUGGAACAUUUCGUGCAGCGUUAACAGGAAGAAGUGCUAACAGGAAUGCUUACGCUGGCUGUUUCGCCCAGCUAUUCUGCUUUCUGGCCUAUAAGCACUAUGCGAUACAGUAUCUUUCUUUCUGAAGCUCUUUUCGCGCACGGCGCUCAAAGCACUUUCCCGAUAAAAGUAAAAAGCUGUAAGUGGAUUAAACGGAAAUAGAAUCUAAGCCUAAGAAAGGAAGAUGUGAAGAGUAUCUAGAUAAGAUUUACCAUGACCAAAAUGGGUAGAACUACAUAAAACAACUAAAUAAAACAGGGCAGCAAUAAAACGCUAGAUGCAGAUCUGAAAGGCUCAAUUUUUGGUUCUUUUAUUGCCAGUGAAGGAGAGGGCAUCAGGUCUGUAGAGUUGGAAUAAUGCAUUCACAGUUUAGUAGCGGUCUACACACAAAAAAAGCCAAAACAAAUUUCUGCUUGAGCCUUAGACUGCGUAGUGAAGUGGGUGACACCUCGAUGCUUACAUGCAUUCAGAUUAAAUUGAAACCAAACCAAGUCACUUCUGAGACAUUUUACACCAGAUACGACGCUGAAAUCAAUGUUUGAUUAAUGUUGACGUUGAUCCAGCGCUUAAUAUAAAUUUCUGGCUUAUAGAAUUAUGUGACCUGGAUUCAACUUUGAUUCAAUGUGUAUCUAUUAUGUCAAAAGCCUGCUUGUUCAACCGUCUGGUUAUGUUUUCAUCUUGUUUGAGUCUGUUCCCUCACCAUUUUGAUAUAUUUAGAAUGUGCUUUGAAUGUUAUGUAAGAAAGGUAAUACAUACAGUUUGUGAUUAAUUGUGAUUGUCAGGAUUUUGUUGAGUUUACAGUGCCGUUUUACCACUGAGGUUCAAAUACUGUAUAAAAUGUGUCAGAAUUAAAGUGAAUCUUCGACACCAGA
Molecule: long non-coding RNA, 2894 nt
Organism: Anguilla rostrata (American eel)
Lineage: Eukaryota; Metazoa; Chordata; Actinopteri; Anguilliformes; Anguillidae
Exons: 2
Source: RefSeq, a predicted model, not a curated record